UACGUAGGGUGCGAGCGUUGUCCGGAAUUAUUGGGCGUAAAGAGCUUGUAGGCGGUCUGUCGCGUCUGCUGUGAAAAUCCGGGGCUCAACCCCGGACUUGCAGUGGGUACGGGCAGACUAGAGUGUGGUAGGGGAGACUGGAAUUCCUGGUGUAGCGGUGAAAUGCGCAGAUAUCAGGAGGAACACCGGUGGCGAAGGCGGGUCUCUGGGCCGUAACUGACUCUGAGGAGCGAAAGCAUGGGGAGCGAACAGG
This 253-nucleotide ribosomal RNA is filed under the name uncultured bacterium. RNAcentral describes it as "partial 16S ribosomal RNA". It matches the Rfam family "Bacterial small subunit ribosomal RNA", at positions 524 to 776 of the family's 1533-position model. The record is from RNAcentral.